GCCCAGGCGUGUCGCCCCGAGAGGAGCCGCGCGAAGGUCACCCCGCGCCCGCCGCCCGCCGCCUCCGUGGGUCCGUUUGCCAGUCAGCCCGUGCGUCCGAGCCCCUCGCGCCCCGCCGCAGCCCCGGCCAACCGAGCGCCAUGAACCAGAUAGAGCCCGGCGUGCAGUACAACUACGUGUACGACGAGGAUGAGUACAUGAUCCAGGAGGAGGAGUGGGACCGCGACCUGCUCCUGGACCCAGCCUGGGAGAAGCAGCAGAGGAAGACCUUCACUGCCUGGUGUAACUCCCACCUAAGGAAAGCCGGCACCCAGAUUGAGAACAUCGAGGAAGACUUCAGGAAUGGCCUUAAGCUCAUGCUGCUUUUGGAAGUCAUCUCAGGGGAAAGGCUGCCCAAACCUGACCGGGGAAAAAUGCGGUUCCACAAAAUUGCUAAUGUCAACAAAGCUUUGGAUUACAUAGCCAGCAAAGGGGUGAAACUGGUGUCCAUCGGCGCUGAAGAAAUUGUUGAUGGCAACGUGAAAAUGACCCUGGGUAUGAUCUGGACCAUCAUCCUUCGCUUUGCUAUUCAGGAUAUUUCGGUUGAAGAAACAUCUGCCAAAGAAGGUCUGCUGCUUUGGUGUCAGAGGAAAACUGCUCCUUAUAGAAAUGUGAACAUUCAGAACUUCCAUACUAGCUGGAAAGAUGGCCUUGGACUCUGUGCCCUCAUCCACCGACACCGGCCUGACCUCAUUGACUACUCAAAGCUUAACAAGGAUGACCCCAUAGGAAAUAUUAACCUGGCCAUGGAAAUCGCUGAGAAGCACCUGGAUAUUCCUAAAAUGUUGGAUGCCGAAGAUUUAGUAUACACUGCCAGACCCGAUGAAAGAGCCAUAAUGACUUAUGUUUCCUGUUACUAUCAUGCUUUUGCUGGUGCACAGAAGACAUCGUGAACACCCCUAAACCCGAUGAAAGAGCCAUCAUGACGUACGUCUCUUGCUUCUACCACGCUUUUGCGGGCGCGGAGCAGGCCGAGACAGCGGCUAACAGGAUAUGUAAGGUUCUUGCUGUGAAUCAAGAGAAUGAGAGGCUGAUGGAAGAAUAUGAGAGGCUAGCGAGUGAGCUUUUGGAAUGGAUUCGUCGCACGAUCCCCUGGCUGGAGAACCGGACUCCCGAGAAGACCAUGCAAGCCAUGCAGAAGAAGCUGGAGGACUUCCGGGAUUACCGCCGGAAGCACAAGCCACCCAAGGUGCAGGAGAAAUGCCAGCUGGAGAUCAACUUCAACACGCUGCAGACCAAGCUGCGGAUCAGCAACCGGCCUGCCUUCAUGCCCUCCGAGGGCAAGAUGGUGUCGGAUAUUGCUGGUGCCUGGCAGAGGCUGGAGCAGGCUGAGAAGGGUUACGAGGAGUGGUUGCUCAAUGAGAUUCGGAGACUGGAGCGCUUGGAACACCUGGCUGAGAAGUUCAGGCAGAAGGCCUCAACGCACGAGACUUGGGCUUAUGGCAAAGAGCAGAUCUUGCUGCAGAAGGAUUACGAGUCGGCGUCGCUGACAGAGGUGCGGGCUCUGCUGCGGAAGCACGAGGCGUUCGAGAGCGACCUGGCAGCGCACCAGGACCGCGUGGAGCAGAUCGCAGCCAUCGCGCAGG
RNAcentral lists this small RNA (1625 nucleotides) under Pan troglodytes (chimpanzee). RNAcentral describes it as "processed transcript". The record is from RNAcentral. Lineage: Eukaryota; Metazoa; Chordata; Mammalia; Primates; Hominidae.